Molecule: long non-coding RNA, 2350 nt
Organism: Myotis daubentonii (Daubenton's bat)
Lineage: Eukaryota; Metazoa; Chordata; Mammalia; Chiroptera; Vespertilionidae
Exons: 2
Source: RefSeq, a predicted model, not a curated record
AGCUGCGGGCGGGACACGGGUGAGGAAUCCAGGUCAGGGCGACAGAGGGGCCUGCAAGGGCUAGCCAUGCCCCUCCUCGUGUGUGUGUGUGUGUGUGUGUGUGUGUGUGUGUGUGUGUGCAUGCACCAUCUCCAUCUUGGUCUCCCUUGCACCCACUGUGAUAACAACAGCCAACAGUUACAAUACUGAUGAUGGCCAGCACUGAUAAAGCACUUCCUCCAGUCAAGCACUGUGCUAAGAGCAACAUAAUAAACAGGGUCUCGUGCAGGGCCCAAAACAAGCCUGUAGGAAGCCAGUGGCCAUCCACAGGGACGGCUAAGUAAAUCAUGGCACAUCCAUACACUAGAACAUAAAACAGCGCAGCUCCAUGUGUACUGGUACAUUCUACAUGUGCAACAAAUGUUUACUGAACUAGUGUGUGCUGCCCUGGGAUCUACAGGGACUCAGUACAAACAAAACAGACUGAAACCCCUGUCCUCUAGGGCCAAAUGCGAGAGACUGUCAUGUCACUCUUCUGCUCUGAACAUGGCCCUGCUUCACUAAGGACAAAUGCCAGAAGUCCUCACCGUGAACCACAAGGCACUACUGGAUUUGGCUCAUCUCAAUUCCUUCUCCAUUUUCACUCUACUCCAGUCAUACUCGUGUCCUCACUGUUCCUCAAAUGGUCCUACCUCAGGGCCUUUGCACUUGCUGUUGUCUCUGACUGGCUUACUGUUCACACAAAUUUCUGCUCCAGCUUAUUUCUUUACUUCCUUUAAUUAUUUGCUUACAUGUCCUUCACUCAGGGAGCCUCAAUCCUAGAACACUGCCUGGCAUGCAGUGGGUGCUCAAUAAAUAGUUAAACAAAUUAAUGUCAUCUCUUUUUUUUUUCUUCAAAUUAAUUUCAGAGAGGACGGGAGAGGGAGAGAGAGAGAGAAACAUCAAUGAUGAGAGAGAAUCACUGAUCAGCUGCCUCCUGCACACCCCCUACUGGGGAUCGAGCCCACAACCUUAAAUGGAACCGAACCUGGGACCCUUCAGUCUGCAGGCCGAUGCUCUAUCCACUGACCCAACCCAGCCAGGGCUAAUGUCAUCUCUUUAGAGAGUCCUUCCUGGACCAUCCUACCCAAAAUACCAAUCCAAAAGACAGUUCCAUUCAGUGUAACGACAGCAUUGCAGGUAUGCAAGAAAAUAUGAAAAUGUCUGUGUCAAAAAAAAAGAAAAUGUCUGUGUCUGAAGUGGGACAAAAUCUUAAAACCUGUGGAAGCUGAAUAAGAGUUCAUUAUACUAUCCUGGUUGCUUUUAUAUACAUUUGAAAUUUUCAUAAUAAAAAUCAGGAUAGGAAAAAUACUCUCCAAUAUCUCUUUCUUUCUUUCUCUUUCAUCUGUUUUAUUUUCCUUCUUAGAACUUUUAGCUACCUGCUCUUUUAUUUAUUUGAUAUUGAUUGAUCUGUUCAUUAUCUGCCUUCCCCUGAGGACAGGACUAUUUGUCUGUUUUCUCUCCCAAUGUAUCCCUAGUGCCUACAACAGUGCCUGGCACACUGUAGGUACUCUGCAAAUAUUGGAUGUAUAAAUUAAUUGUUCAAUGGGUUAGGUUUUUAAAAAGCACAUUGGAGCCCUGGCUGGUUUUGCUCAGUGGAUAGAAUGUUGGCCUGCAGACUGAAGGAUCCCAGGUUCAAUUCCAGUCAAGGGCACAUGCCCGGGUUGUGGACUCGAUCUCUAGGAGGGGACAUGCAGGAGGCAGCUGAUCAAUGAUUCUCUCUCAUCAUUAAUGUUUCUAUCUCUCUUUCCCUUCCUCUCCGAAAUCAAUAAAAAAAAUUUUUUUUAAAGCACAUUGGAGAAUAGUGGUGUAUAAGAUGUGCUACCGUUCUGGAUUUAUGGUCUCUGUGCCAUGUUCAGAUCCAAAGGCCAGUCCUCCCAAGUUGGGCCCAGGCUUCUGUUUGUUUGAGAGGACCCGGGCACUAAAUGCGCAGACCCCUGGGACCAUGGCUGAGACGGACAGAGCGCUUGGCUAAAAAGCCUGACUCAUGGGCAGACAGAUCUUCAUAUUCCAUGUUUACAACAUGGAAAAGAAGCACUGUGCAAAGCUACAGUACUGUAUGAGCCAAAUUCUGCUUGGCAUAAAGCAACUGGAAGGAAAUUUAUUGAAAUGUUGAUGGUGAUAUUUUGUAUGUGGUAUAAUGAGUAAUAUCUUUUAUAUUUCUAUUUCUAUGGCAUUUAUCCUUAGUAUGAUGGACAAUAUUCUUUAUCCUUUCCAAAUUCUUAAGAGUGGAUAUGUGUUACUUCUAGAAUCUGGAAAGAAAAUGUAGUCCCUUCACUCCCCUCAAAUAUAAGACUAUAAUUUGGACAAAAUAAAUUAAUAUAUGGCUAUA